UCCCUGGUGGCUCAGCUGGUAAAAGUGUCUGCCUACAAUGCGGGAGACCCGGGUUUGAUCCCUGGAUGGGGAA
This 73-nucleotide transfer RNA is filed under the name Bos taurus (domestic cattle). It matches the Rfam family "tRNA". From Rfam's summary of the family: Transfer RNA (tRNA) molecules are approximately 80 nucleotides in length. Their secondary structure includes four short double-helical elements and three loops (D, anti-codon, and T loops). Further hydrogen bonds mediate the characteristic L-shaped molecular structure. tRNAs have two regions of fundamental functional importance: the anti-codon, which is responsible for specific mRNA codon recognition, and the 3' end, to which the tRNAs corresponding amino acid is attached (by aminoacyl-tRNA synthetases). tRNAs cope with the degeneracy of the genetic code in two manners: having more than one tRNA (with a specific anti-codon) for a particular amino acid; and 'wobble' base-pairing, i.e. permitting non-standard base-pairing at the 3rd anti-codon position. RNAcentral also lists the same sequence under 4 other names. Lineage: Eukaryota; Metazoa; Chordata; Mammalia; Artiodactyla; Bovidae. The record is from Rfam by way of RNAcentral.